Molecule: ribosomal RNA, 97 nt
Filed under: Acinetobacter baumannii
Lineage: Bacteria; Pseudomonadati; Pseudomonadota; Gammaproteobacteria; Moraxellales; Moraxellaceae
Description: partial 16S ribosomal RNA
Rfam family: Bacterial small subunit ribosomal RNA
Source: RNAcentral
UAACUGAAGAGUUUGAUCAUGGCUCAGAUUGAACGCUGGCGGCAGGCUUAACACAUGCAAGUCGAGCGGGGGAAGGUAGCUUGCUACUGGACCUAGC